This is a long non-coding RNA of Mercenaria mercenaria, 415 nucleotides long. RefSeq lists it as uncharacterized. The transcript has 3 exons. Lineage: Eukaryota; Metazoa; Mollusca; Bivalvia; Venerida; Veneridae. The record is from RefSeq and is a predicted model, not a curated record.
UGCGCGCCGAUGUUUACAAAGGAAUGUCCAGUAUUUUUGGUGUCUUUCGGUGAUACUGAUACACAUUAGAACAACUGAAUAAAAUCUCCUUUCAAUUAAUUAUCGAUAUAUCUGGUGUUUUACGUAAGACUGAGUCCCAAUAUUAUUGCAAUUCGGUAGCAAAGAUGUUGACACCACAUGUCGUCUGAUGAUGAGUUUUACGGGAUCGAAUAAGGUUUGGUCAUUGUAUUCCCUGAAAGGAACAAGAGGAGAAAAGAAACUGGAAGACCUGGCUAUCCGCAGGCCAAUGCUGGCUGCAGGUCAAUAUUGAAUGCUCUUAUGAAAACUCAUAAGACAAUAACAAAAAAAGAAGCUGAGGAUGCUGUUUUUAAGACAUGUUCCAUUCAAAAAAGGUGGAUUGAAAUUUAAAGGUAGG